This 330-nucleotide unclassified non-coding RNA is filed under the name uncultured Udeniozyma. RNAcentral describes it as "sequence contains 5.8S rRNA gene". The stretch from base 1 to 53 matches the Rfam family "5.8S ribosomal RNA", at positions 102 to 154 of the family's 154-position model. Lineage: Eukaryota; Fungi; Basidiomycota; Microbotryomycetes; Chrysozymaceae. The record is from RNAcentral.
GAACGCACCUUGCGCUCUCUGGUAUUCCGGAGAGCAUGCCUGUUUGAGUGUCAUGAACUCUUCAACCCGCCAGUUUCUUGUUAGACUGUGUCGGUGUUUGGUUUCUGAACGUUGCCAGUUCCUUUAGUGUGAACUCUUGGCUCGUUUCAAAUGUAUUAGCAUCUCAAUUUCGAAAUUUGGAUUGACUCAGCGUAAUAGACUAUUCGCUGAGGACAUUCUUCUCCGGAAGGGUGGCCGAAUAUUAGAUCACGAUUGAUGCUUACAGCACUCUAUCUAGUCAACUUUUAAGAUUAGACCUCAGAUCAGGCAGGAUUACCCGCUGAACUUAAG